This 571-nucleotide small RNA is filed under the name Arabidopsis thaliana (thale cress). RNAcentral's name for it is "ATSL255960". The record is from RNAcentral. Lineage: Eukaryota; Viridiplantae; Streptophyta; Magnoliopsida; Brassicales; Brassicaceae.
AUUAUUACUAAAAAUCAAAUAUAAUUUAGUGGCCAGUAGUAUCUAAUACUCUAUCCAUUUAUGGAGAAAUCCACCAGUCACAUAUGUAAAGUGUAAUUUUGAUGUUGGUUUCGAUUUACAGAAGUUGGAAGCUACAGGAGGUUGGAUCAUCAGAAAUCAUUACGGGACACCAAUCUCAUGGGGUUCAAUAAAGUUGGCUCACACGAAUAAUCCGCUUGAGGCAGAAACCAAAGCUCUUUUGGCGGCUUUACAACAAACCUGGAUUCGAGGAUACACACAAGUACUUAUAGAAGGCGAUUGUCAGACGCUAAUUAACUUAAUUAAUGGGACUUCGUCUCACAGUUCCUUAGCAAAUCACCUGGAGGACAUUCGUUUUUGGUCAAAUAAAUUUGCAAGCAUUCAGUUUGGUUUUAUUAGGAGAAAGGGAAACAAAUUAGCUCAUGUCUUAGCGAAAUAUGGUUGUACCUAUUCUUCUUUUUAUUCUGGUUCUGGUUUUUUACCUAUUUGGCUUGAUCGAUAUUUUUGUAAUGACCCUAAUUGAUUAAUAUAAUUGUUUUGACGUAAAAAAAAA